GUUUGAUCCUGGCUCAGAGCGAACGUUAGCGGCAGGCUUAACACAUGCAAGUCGAGCGAGAAAGGGGCUUCGGCUCCGAGUAAAGCGGCGGACGGGUGCGUAACACGUGGAUAAUCUGCCUCGUGGCGGGGGACAACAGUCCGAAAGGACUGCUAAUACCGCAUGUCAGGUCGGAAACUCCGGUUUCUGACGAAAAAAGAGGGCGCCCGCAAGGGGCUCUCACCACGAGAUGAGUCCGCGUCCCAUCAGCUAGUUGGCGGUGUAAUAGACCACCAAGGCUUAGACGGGUAGCUGGUCUGAGAGGAUGACCAGCCACACUGGGACUGAGACACGGCCCAGACUCCUACGGGAGGCAGCAGUGGGGAAUAUUGGACAAUGGGCGAAAGCCUGAUCCAGCCAUGCCGCGUGAGUGAUGAAGGCCUUCGGGUCGUAAAGCUCUGUGGGGAGGG
RNAcentral lists this ribosomal RNA (449 nucleotides) under uncultured bacterium. Its description in RNAcentral is "bacterial SSU rRNA". It matches the Rfam family "Bacterial small subunit ribosomal RNA", at positions 11 to 444 of the family's 1533-position model. The record is from RNAcentral.